GUGCCAGCAGCCGCGGUAAUACGGAGGGUGCAAGCGUUAAUCGGAAUUACUGGGCGUAAAGCGUGCGUAGGCGGUUCGUUAAGUCUGCUGUGAAAGCCCCGGGCUCAACCUGGGAAUGGCAGUGGAUACUGGCGAGCUAGAGUGUGAUAGAGGAUGGUGGAAUUCCCGGUGUAGCGGUGAAAUGCGUAGAGAUCGGGAGGAACAUCAGUGGCGAAGGCGGCCAUCUGGAUCAACACUGACGCUGAGGCACGAAAGCGUGGGGAGCAAACAGGAUUAGAAACCCGAGUAGUCC
This 292-nucleotide ribosomal RNA is filed under the name uncultured Lysobacteraceae bacterium. RNAcentral's name for it is "uncultured Xanthomonadaceae bacterium partial 16S ribosomal RNA". It matches the Rfam family "Bacterial small subunit ribosomal RNA", at positions 505 to 796 of the family's 1533-position model. Lineage: Bacteria; Pseudomonadati; Pseudomonadota; Gammaproteobacteria; Lysobacterales; Lysobacteraceae. The record is from RNAcentral.